UGAGGAAUCUUCCACAAUGGGCGAAAGCCUGAUGGAGCAACGCCGCGUGAAGGAUGAAGGUCUUCGGAUUGUAAACUUCUUUUAUGAGUGAAGAAUAUGACGGUAACUCAUGAAUAAGCACCGGCUAACUACGUGCCAGCAGCCGCGGUCAUACGUAGGGUGCAAGCAUUAUCCGGAGUGACUGGGCGUAAAGAGUUGCGUAGGCGGUUAUGUAAGCGAAUAGUGAAACCUGGUGGCUCAACCACACAGACUAUUAUUCGAACUGCAUAACUCGAGAAUGGUAGAGGUAACUGGAAUUUCUUGUGUAGGAGUGAAAUCCGUAGAUAUAAGAAGGAACACCAAUGGCGUAGGCAGGUUACUGGGCCAUUUCUGACGCUAAGGCACGAAAGCGUGGGGAGCGAACCGG
Molecule: ribosomal RNA, 406 nt
Filed under: uncultured bacterium
Lineage: Bacteria
Description: bacterial SSU rRNA
Rfam family: Bacterial small subunit ribosomal RNA
Source: RNAcentral